UAUGAUACUGAAUUCUGACUAGUCUUGGUCAAUGACAAGUUAAAAUCCGGGACUUGUAAUCUUCCAAGAAACUUUCAAAGGAGGAGAAAUAGUCCAGGAAAUUGGACUCAAGAUAAAACAACUGCUUGAAGAAUCACUCAGAAACCAGAUAAACUAAAAGGAAAUGAGGGCAGAGAACAUUGCAUAGAGUUUCCUGGAACUUGAAGAGGAAGGGGUUUUGAUUUUUAUUUCUAGUUGUUGGAUUGUAAAAAAAUAGAUAGUUGAUUUUAUAACAAGAUGCAUCCUCCGUUACAUGACCAGUCAAGAUACUCAGCUGAUGUCCAUCAAGGUCCAAUUCUUGUUUCAGGAGUUCCAAAACCCAAUCCUAUACACCCUUAUGCUCCACAUAUGGCCAUGAGGCACGUUCGUGAUGUAGCAGGGAAGUGGCCACUGGUCUUCGCCUUUGCUGUGAUAAUCCUGAAAAUUAGCAUAUUUAGAACUUAACUAGAUUCUCCAGUUUUCUAGCUAAAACUAUCAAGUAUCGUUACUUAAUUGUAGCCUUUUCUUUAGUUACUAACUAGCACUUUAAUUUCUUAGGUGUGAUCGUGCCUUUGUCCUUGAAUCACAUUUGGACAGAUUGCUUAAAUCGUGAAUGGAGCAUCCACAACAUGUUUCAUGAGUGGAGCAGUAUAAGCGUUACUGAUGGGUUUUGCAUGCUUCUACUCAUGUUGCUAUUGCUCAAAAUUAAGGGGCCAAUAUGACUUGGAGGAGGACCCUUGUGUGGAUUGGCUAGUGCACUGCUGCCGAGACUUGUGCUUUGUGUCAAGAGCUCAAGAAUCGUGGAUUUGAUAAGGGGCUAUGUACUAUGUUUACAUCUGUUCAGAUAUUUAUAAGCUUUCUGUUUCCAUUACCCUUCGAAAAAAUACAAGUAAAUAAACUUGUCAGAA
This is a long non-coding RNA of Populus nigra (black poplar), 926 nucleotides long. RefSeq lists it as uncharacterized. The record is from RefSeq and is a predicted model, not a curated record. The transcript is spliced from 2 exons. Lineage: Eukaryota; Viridiplantae; Streptophyta; Magnoliopsida; Malpighiales; Salicaceae.